RNAcentral lists this unclassified non-coding RNA (1097 nucleotides) under Hevea brasiliensis (rubber tree). Lineage: Eukaryota; Viridiplantae; Streptophyta; Magnoliopsida; Malpighiales; Euphorbiaceae. The record is from RNAcentral.
GAUAGUUUACAGCAAAUCUUGCACUAAUUCAAGAGAGCUAAAAAUUUGGUGCUUCACAUUUGAUAAAACUCACCACAAUUUUAACAGUGUACGUAGGUCAACAAAAGAAUUAUAAAUAGGUUAAAAAAAAGACCCUCCUAAAGAAGGCUAGUUUGUUCAAAUGCACAACAUACCAUCACUGCAUUUUUCUUCUUUCGUACGAUGAAACCUUUUCGGGCUCUCUCUAUCCCAUUCCCACCAGGGCUUCGAAAAAACAGUGCCCUUUGAAUUCUGAAGAACAAAUAGGAAUAUGCUAAUCCUAUCUGAUCUCUCUAUUGAAUGUCAUUAGCACAUAUCACAGAGGAAGCAAAUAUGCUUGAAACUUGGAGAAAGACUGGGUGUUGUUGUUUCGGCUAUCCAUUCUCGUGCAAACCAAGAAUAUACAUCAACCUGUUAGAGGCUUUGCUUUUCUUAUGUGACCCAUGCUAUUGACGAGAUCCUUGCGUGUACAAACAGGAAACAUGUUGAUAUUCUUGAACUCUUUAAACCGCCAAAGGACAUAUGGAAAACUCAGUUGAUCACGGGAUGUAAAGCGAACCACCUCAUUGAACCAUAAGCACAUGAGCAGAUUAGUUGAUGGGGUGUGCUCUCUCACAAUAAUUGAAGCCUCAGAUAGAGCUUUUUUCCCAUUGAAUCUCUUAUCCUCGGGGAGUCCAUCUUGACGGUACUGAGCUAUCUGCACGGCCACUUCCUCUGGAGUGGCUUUAUUUUUCUUGACAACAGCCUUUGCCUCAUCAUACACACUACUCCGAGCUCCAUGUUCCGAGAUUGCUAGUACAGAGUUUGAACGCCAAAGCAGAGCCUCCAACACACCCAAUGGAUCCCUCCUAAGUUGGGACUUUGAGUCUACCCAAAUGGAAUAUCUAGAAUUUGGAAAGAGACGAUGGGCCAGCAUCUUUGGGAUUUUACCAUUCAACCUUUGGUCUGUGAAUGGUAGAUUCUUAACCAGGAUGAUGCGCCACUUUCCGAUGUAACGGUCAUCACCAACUUUAUGACCAUCUGCCUCUUGUGAUGCAAGUGUAAUUUCAUCCCAAAAAGCCACAAAGCAAACCUUCUUG